RNAcentral lists this ribosomal RNA (406 nucleotides) under Pithecopus hypochondrialis group sp. ABGD cluster 15. RNAcentral describes it as "partial large subunit ribosomal RNA". It matches the Rfam family "Bacterial large subunit ribosomal RNA", at positions 1813 to 2419 of the family's 2925-position model. The record is from RNAcentral. Lineage: Eukaryota; Metazoa; Chordata; Amphibia; Anura; Hylidae.
ACAUCGCCUCUUGACAACAUAUGAGAGGUCUAGCCUGCCCAGUGACUCUGUUCAACGGCCGCGGUAUCCUAACCGUGCGAAGGUAGCGUAAUCACUUGUUCUUUAAAUGAGGACUAGUAUGAAUGGCAUUACGAGGGUUAUACUGUCUCCUUUCCCUAAUCAGUGAAACUAAUCUCCUCGUGAAGAAGCAAGGAUAAACAUAUAAGACGAGAAGACCCUAUGGAGCUUUAAACUUUCAGCAAUUAUCUUUUUUUAUUAACCUCAAGGUAAUCAAAUUAACUUUAAUAUUAUGCCUGUUAGUUUUCGGUUGGGGUGACCACGGAGUAAAAUUCAUCCUCCGCAAUGAAUACUAAACGUUUAAGCAACAAACUACAAUUUUACGCAUCAAAAAAUUGACACUAUUGAC